Molecule: ribosomal RNA, 497 nt
Filed under: uncultured bacterium
Lineage: Bacteria
Description: partial 16S ribosomal RNA
Rfam family: Bacterial small subunit ribosomal RNA
Source: RNAcentral
GAUGAACGCUGGCGGCGUGCCUAAUACAUGCAAGUCGAGCGAACAGACGAGGCGCUUGCUCCUCUGACGUUAGCGGCGGACGGGUGAGUAACACGUGGAUAACCUACCUAUAAGGCUGAGAUCACUUCGGGAACCCUGAUCUAAUACCGGACAAUAUAUUGAACCGCAUGGUUCAAUAGUGAAAGACGGUUUUGCUGUCCCUUAUAGAGGGAUCCUCGCCGCAUUAGCUAGUUGGUAAGGUAACGGCUUACCAAGGCGACGAUGCGUAGCCGACCUGAGAGGGUGAUCAGCCACACUGGAACUGAGACACGGUCCAGACUCCUACGGGAGGCAGCAGUAGGGAAUCUUGCGCAAUGGGCGAAAGCCUGACGGAGCAACGCCGCGUGAGUGAUGAAGGUCUUCGGAUCGUAAAACUCUGUUAUUAGGGAAGAACAAAUGUGUAAGUAACUAUGCACGUCUUGACGGUACCUAAUCAGAAAGCCACGGCUAACUACGUG